RNAcentral lists this microRNA (21 nucleotides) under Marchantia polymorpha subsp. ruderalis. Lineage: Eukaryota; Viridiplantae; Streptophyta; Marchantiopsida; Marchantiales; Marchantiaceae. The record is from RNAcentral.
AUGCUAGAGCCACUUAAGAGA